UGGGGAAUUUUGGACAAUGGGGGAAACCCUGAUCCAGCCAUCCCGCGUGUGCGAUGAAGGCCUUCGGGUUGUAAAGCACUUUUGGCAGGAAAGAAACGUUCCGGGUUAAUACCCCGGGAAACUGACGGUACCUGCAGAAUAAGCACCGGCUAACUACGUGCCAGCAGCCGCGGUAAUACGUAGGGUGCAAGCGUUAAUCGGAAUUACUGGGCGUAAAGCGUGCGCAGGCGGUUCGGAAAGAAAGAUGUGAAAUCCCAGAGCUUAACUUUGGAACUGCAUUUUUAACUACCGAGCUAGAGUGUGUCAGAGGGAGGUGGAAUUCCGCGUGUAGCAGUGAAAUGCGUAGAUAUGCGGAGGAACACCGAUGGCGAAGGCAGCCUCCUGGGAUAACACUGACGCUCAUGCACGAAAGCGUGGGGAGCAAACA
This 427-nucleotide ribosomal RNA is filed under the name uncultured Achromobacter sp. RNAcentral's name for it is "bacterial SSU rRNA". It matches the Rfam family "Bacterial small subunit ribosomal RNA", at positions 355 to 774 of the family's 1533-position model. Lineage: Bacteria; Pseudomonadati; Pseudomonadota; Betaproteobacteria; Burkholderiales; Alcaligenaceae. The record is from RNAcentral.